AUACGGAGGGUGCAAGCGUUAUCCGGAUUCACUGGGUUUAAAGGGUGCGUAGGUGGAUUGGUGAGUCCGUGGUGAAAUCUCCGAGCUUAACUCGGAAACUGCCGUGGAUACUAUCAGUCUUGAAUUUCCUGGAGGUAAGCGGAAUAUGUCAUGUAGCGGUGAAAUGCUUAGAUAUGACAUAGAACACCAAUUGCGAAGGCAGCUUACUACGGGAAUAUUGACACUGAGGCACGAAAGCGUGGGGAUCAAACAGGAUUAGAUACCCUGGUAGUCCACGCCCUAAACGAUGAUUACUCGACAUACGCGAUACACUGUGUGUGCCUGAGCGAAAGCAUUAAGUAAUCCACCUGGGAAGUACGACCGCAAGGUUGAA
Molecule: ribosomal RNA, 373 nt
Filed under: uncultured bacterium
Lineage: Bacteria
Description: bacterial SSU rRNA
Rfam family: Bacterial small subunit ribosomal RNA
Source: RNAcentral